Molecule: unclassified non-coding RNA, 162 nt
Filed under: uncultured Sordariomycetes
Lineage: Eukaryota; Fungi; Ascomycota; Sordariomycetes
Description: sequence contains ITS2
Source: RNAcentral
CAACCCUCAAGCCCUGGCUGCUUGGUGUUGGGGCAUCUACGGCACCGCCGUAGGCCCCGAAAGAAAGUGGCGGUCUCGCCUAGACUCCAAGCGCAGUAGUUUAUUUCUCGCUUAGGGCGUCUUUGCGGGUGCCAGCCGUUAAACCCCCUACUUUUAAUAGUG